Molecule: long non-coding RNA, 2531 nt
Filed under: Trifolium pratense (red clover)
Lineage: Eukaryota; Viridiplantae; Streptophyta; Magnoliopsida; Fabales; Fabaceae
Description: long non-coding RNA (TPRA_LNC000404)
Source: RNAcentral
CUCUACCGAAGAAUUUGAUCGACGUGUAAGGUUAGUUCUUCCCUCUCAGUAGUGGUGUGACUAAUCUUUGUCAGAGAAGGUGCACGAGAUGAAUUCUCUCCUCUCAAUCGAAUUUUAUCCAUACACAAGAAUCAUUUAUCGAACAUAACCGCUCAAUUAUUGAUCAUAUUAUGCUAAUGUGUAGUUUUUGCAUGCUAAUUCUCCUUUAGUUUUUGCUUACUCCCCUCUAAUUUCCGCAUCUUAGCAUUUAGUCAGACCCUACACCUUUGAAAGUGACCUAAUUCCGGUUGGUGAAGCAUCGAAUCCUUUCAAAUCUUUCAGAAAGAUCAAACACAUUGUUCAAUCUUAAUUCUUAACCACCAAAUUCACCCACUAUCCGUACGUGUGUGCAAGCUAUAAAAUUGAAAUCUUAGAAAGAAAAAAAAAUCAUUAAUAGAUAAUUUGCAAAAAAUUUCUGACCUUACUUAUUUCAUGUACAUAAAUUUUUCUACAUGAAACCGGCUAAAAAAUUAAAGGACCACAUGACAUCAAUCAAUAGCUUAAAUUUGAAAAAAUAAAAUAAAAUAGUUACUAAUUCUAACAAGAAAAUAGAUAGUGAGGUACUUCAUUUUAGAUAUUGUCCCAUUUUAUUAUAUUAUCAUUAUACUGUUUUGGCCCAAAAUAAUCAAUCAAUCAUUAUCAUAAGUUGAGUUUUAUUUUAAUCUCAAUAUAUUGUGGCCCUUCUAGUGACGCCAAAGAUAAGAUGAUAUCAAUGAGAUAUUAAGGUACAUGACAACCCAACUAGACUCAACAAAAUAUUAAGGUAUCAAUGAGAUUCUCCAAUAAUGUAAUGUAACUGAAUUUUUUCAGGUACAUGGAUGAUGAUAUUCCAAAGGGGUUAUGUGGAUGGAGUUGGAAGGAGAAUAAAUUGUUUGAGUUGGCUUUAGCUUUGGUAGAUGAGAGGCAUCCGGAACGGUGGGAGAUGGUUGCGGCAAUUGUUGGAGGAAAAAAGAGUGCAGACGAAGUUCGGGAACAUUAUGUGAUACUUUUGGAGGAUUUGGAGCUUAUAGAAUCUGGAAAAUUUGAUCAUAAAUUUGGAGAAGAUCAUACUUGUGUUAUUGUUGACCUUACUAAGUCCUUGUGCUUGUCUGAUAAUAAUAUUGAUUGAUAUAGCUUCAUGUAAGUUCUUACUUUUUAUGUAACAAAACUAAAAUAAUUUUAUCUUUAUUCUCUCAUAUAACUUGAUGAUGUUCUGUUUUGUAUUCUUUUAUGCUCCUACUUUAGUAUUUUUAUCAUAUAAACUAUCAUGCUAUACUAAUUCCUAUGGUAAGUAGUAACAUCAUAAGCUUAGAAAUUUCAUUAAUCUUGUUUAUAUCAUAGUCUUAGAGAAUAAAACUUUCAUGCUUCAUGCAUAAUCACUUGAACUGUGUCAGAUGACUCAAUACGUGCAGGAAAAGGUAUACAUCAACUAAUGUAAUGUCUGUUCGAGGAUUGGUUUUGCCAUCAAAAAACGUUAGCGGCGCAGCUUGUUGUCUGUGUUUGUCUUUCAUUCAUAUAUAAUUAUAUUGAAUAUAUAUAAUCCAAAACAGGAUAAUAAGUUGGCUUAAUCAUGCAAACAGCAGUACAAGAAGUUACAGAAUAAGUCUUGACUCAAUGUCCAUCCUAGUAAUAUAACAGUAGUUUAUCUGUAUUUAAUUACAAUAUAAAGAAUAACAGCUUAAUUGCAGCCACAAUUUAGAACAAUUUGUCCCAUGACAUAUAUCAGUAGUUUCUGGUAAAAUUUCAAGAGAUGAUUUUAUCUACCAUCUCUUAUCUCACCAUAUAUUUGUCUGAAAUUGAAUGAAUGGUGACAAGAUAUGAAGACAUGAAUCAAGUAGCAUAUUCCAAUGAUAAGGUAUUUAAGAACAUGGAAACAUAAAGACAAGAGAGAUCAUUAGUGACAAAAUGUGUUUGUUUAGCCAAAGCUCAUCAACAUCACUGCCUUUUAAAGUUGAAUCCACAAAUUGAACUCAUUUAAAUAUACAAAUCAUACAAGAUAAUAAAUAAAUCAAAAAAUUUAAAAAAAAUAAAGGAAAGGGACUAAGUAUUAAAUAUUAAUGGAAACAAAGCCAGGGAAGAGGCAGUGCAUGAGCGGAGUCACAACAGCUAUCUCAUCUGUUGAUGGUUCCAUCCAUGCUCUGUCUGUUCCCUGCCUUCGUCUUGUCGCUAACUAUUAAUCUCAGCCCCCAACCUUUUUUACAUCUAAAUUAAAUUAUCUUACCUCCUCCAUGUUAGACAUCCUUAGUGUUAAGCAGCUUCUCAUAGUCUUAUAAAACUCUCAUAUUCAAUAAGAUUCCCUUCUCAUUGAAAAUUUGGUUUGUUAAAUUAUUCAUAAAAUGCAAUGUUGAAUGAAGGUAUUGAUUGAUUCUGAUUCUAUAUGUAAUAAUCACAUAAAGGAGGGGAUGUUUGUACUUUGCAAUUUUGCAGUACAUAUACAUGUACUAGGAAAUUUUAGGUGUACUACUUAAUGUACUACUAUUAGUAGCCAACUCAGCUUAGCUAAAUCAAAUUUU